RNAcentral lists this ribosomal RNA (683 nucleotides) under uncultured prokaryote. RNAcentral's name for it is "bacterial SSU rRNA". It matches the Rfam family "Bacterial small subunit ribosomal RNA", at positions 785 to 1482 of the family's 1533-position model. The record is from RNAcentral.
CCCUGGUAGNCCACGCCGUAAACGAUGAAUGCUAGCUGUUAGCGAUAUACUGUUAGCGGCACAGAGAAAUCGUUAAGCAUUCCACCUGGGGAGUACGCCGGCAACGGUGAAACUCAAAGGAAUUGACGGGGGCCCGCACAAGCGGAGGAACAUGUGGUUUAAUUCGAUGAUACGCGAGGAACCUUACCUGGGCUUAAAUUGCAGUGGAAUAACGUGGAAACAUGUUAGCCUUCGGGCCGCUGUGAAGGUGCUGCAUGGUUGUCGUCAGCUCGUGCCGUGAGGUGUCGGCUUAAGUGCCAUAACGAGCGCAACCCACAUCGAUAGUUACUAACAGGUUAAGCUGAGGACUCUAUCGAGACUGCCAGCGUAAGCUGUGAGGAAGGUGUGGAUGACGUCAAAUCAGCACGGCCCUUACGUCCGGGGCGACACACGUGUUACAAUGGGAGGUACAAAGGGCAGCUACCUGGCGACAGGAUGCUAAUCUCUAAAACCUCUCUCAGUUCGGAUUGGAGUCUGCAACCCGACUCCAUGAAGCUGGAUUCGCUAGUAAUCGCGCAUCAGCCACGGCGCGGUGAAUACGUUCCCGGGCCUUGUACACACCGCCCGUCAAGCCAUGGGAGCCGGGGGGACCUGAAGUAUGCAACCGUAAGGAGCGUCCUAGGGUAAAACUGGUGACUGGGGCU